UACAGAGACUGCAAGCGUUAUUCGGAUUCACUGGGCGUAAAGGGUGCGCAGGCGGCCAAGUGUGUGAGGCGUGAAAGCCUGGAGCUUAACUCCAGAAUUGCACCUCAAACUACAUGGCUAGAGCAUUGGAGAGGGUAGCGGAAUUCACGGUGUAGCAGUGAAAUGCGUAGAUAUCGAGAGGAACACCAGAGGCGAAAGCGAAUCACUGGACAGAAUCUGACGCUGAGGCACGAAAGCUAGGGGAGCAAACGGG
RNAcentral lists this ribosomal RNA (253 nucleotides) under uncultured bacterium. Its description in RNAcentral is "partial 16S ribosomal RNA". It matches the Rfam family "Bacterial small subunit ribosomal RNA", at positions 524 to 776 of the family's 1533-position model. The record is from RNAcentral.